GACGAACGCUGGCGGCGCGCUUAACACAUGCAAGUCGAGCGACGAAAGGGCCUUCGGGCCCCUGAAAGCGGCGAACGGGUGAGUAACACGUGGGCAACCAACCCUCGGUACCGGGAUAGC
RNAcentral lists this ribosomal RNA (120 nucleotides) under uncultured bacterium. Its description in RNAcentral is "partial 16S ribosomal RNA". It matches the Rfam family "Bacterial small subunit ribosomal RNA", at positions 28 to 147 of the family's 1533-position model. The record is from RNAcentral.